CAGCAGCAGCCACGGGAAUACAGAGGGUGCGAGCGUUAAUCGGAUUUACUGGGCGUAAAGCGUGCGUAGGCGGCUUCUUAAGUCGGAUGUGAAAUCCCUGAGCUUAACUUAGGAAUUGCAUUCGAUACUGGGAAGCUAGAGUAUGGGAGAGGAUGGUAGAAUUCCAGGUGUAGCGGUGAAAUGCGUAGAGAUCUGGAGGAAUACCGAUGGCGAAGGCAGCCAUCUGGCCUAAUACUGACGCUGAGGUACGAAAGCAUGGGGAGCAAACAGGAUUAGAUACCCCCGUAGUCCCUGUCUCUUAUAC
This 304-nucleotide ribosomal RNA is filed under the name uncultured bacterium. RNAcentral's name for it is "partial 16S ribosomal RNA". It matches the Rfam family "Bacterial small subunit ribosomal RNA", at positions 506 to 807 of the family's 1533-position model. The record is from RNAcentral.